CCUACGGGAGGCAGCAGUGGGGAAUAUUGCACAAUGGGGGAAACCCUGAUGCAGCGACGCCGCGUGAGUGAAGAAGUAUUUCGGUAUGUAAAGCUCUAUCAGCAGGGAAGAAAAGGACGGUACCUGAUUAAGAAGCCUCGGCUAACUACGUGCCAGCAGCCGCGGGAAUACGUAGGGGGCAAGCGUUAUCCGGAUUUAAUGGGUGUAAAGGGAGCGUAGACGGUGAUGCAAGUCAGAAGUGAAAGCCCGGGGCUCAACUCCGGGACUGCUUUUGAAACUGUGUGACUGGAGGGCAGGAGAGGUAAGCGGAAUUCCUGGUGUAGCGGUGAAAUGCGUAGAUAUCAGGAGGAACACC
Molecule: ribosomal RNA, 355 nt
Filed under: uncultured bacterium
Lineage: Bacteria
Description: partial 16S ribosomal RNA
Rfam family: Bacterial small subunit ribosomal RNA
Source: RNAcentral